RNAcentral lists this ribosomal RNA (425 nucleotides) under uncultured bacterium. RNAcentral's name for it is "partial 16S ribosomal RNA". It matches the Rfam family "Bacterial small subunit ribosomal RNA", at positions 354 to 796 of the family's 1533-position model. The record is from RNAcentral.
GUGGGGAAUCUUGCGCAAUGGGCGAAAGCCUGACGCAGCCAUGCCGCGUGAAUGAUGAAGGUCUUAGGAUUGUAAAAUUCUUUCACCGGGGACGAUAAUGACGGUACCCGGAGAAGAAGCCCCGGCUAACUUCGUGCCAGCAGCCGCGGUAAUACGAAGGGGGCUAGCGUUGCUCGGAAUUACUGGGCGUAAAGGGCGCGUAGGCGGAUCGUUAAGUCAGGGGUGAAAUCCCAGAGCUCAACUCUGGAACUGCCCUUGAUACUGGCGAUCUUGAGUGUGAUAGAGGUAUGUGGAACUCCGAGUGUAGAGGUGAAAUUCGUAGAUAUUCGGAAGAACACCAGUGGCGAAGGCGACAUACUGGCUCAUUACUGACGCUGAGGCGCGAAAGCGUGGGGAGCAAACAGGAUUAGAAACCCCGGUAGUCC